UACGUAGGGGGCAAGCGUUGUCCGGAUUUAUUGGGCGUAAAGAGCGUGUAGGCGGCCUGAAAGGUCAGCUGUGAAAACUCGAGGCUCAACCUCGAGACGUCGGUUGAAACCAUCUGGCUAGAGUCCGGAAGAGGAGUGUGGAAUUCCCGGUGUAGCGGUGAAAUGCGCAGAUAUCGGGAAGAACACCCGUGGCGAAGGCGGCUCUCUGGACCGUAACUGACGCUGAGGCGCGAAAGCGUGGGGAGCAAACAGG
RNAcentral lists this ribosomal RNA (253 nucleotides) under uncultured bacterium. Its description in RNAcentral is "partial 16S ribosomal RNA". It matches the Rfam family "Bacterial small subunit ribosomal RNA", at positions 524 to 776 of the family's 1533-position model. The record is from RNAcentral.